AGGCCGAAGCAACUAAAAAAUUUCAGACCCAUCAGUCUUCGUAAUGUGUUGUACAAGAUUUCUUCCAAGGUUAUUGCUAAUCGUUUGAAGGUGUUGCUACCAGUUAUCAUUUCUGAUUUUUAG
Molecule: ribosomal RNA, 123 nt
Filed under: Triticum aestivum (bread wheat)
Lineage: Eukaryota; Viridiplantae; Streptophyta; Magnoliopsida; Poales; Poaceae
Description: partial small subunit ribosomal RNA
Source: RNAcentral